RNAcentral lists this long non-coding RNA (33609 nucleotides) under Capsicum annuum. Its description in RNAcentral is "long non-coding RNA (CANN_LNC016949)". Lineage: Eukaryota; Viridiplantae; Streptophyta; Magnoliopsida; Solanales; Solanaceae. The record is from RNAcentral.
AUUCUAAAAAUAGUGGGAGUCAAAGGACUAAAGAAAAUAUUUUGUUACUACCUAGUUCUUUUAUUUCUAUUUUGAAAAAUAAAGAAAAUGAUGAUUUUGAGUUAAGAAGAAGUAAAAGAGCUAGAGUAUAAACAAAUUUUGGUCUUGACUAUUAUGUUUUUAAUGUUGGAGAUGACCCUCUCACUUUAAAAGAAGUUUUGUCUUCACGUCAUGCUAUUUUUUGGAAAGAAGCCAUAAAUGAUAAAAUGGAAUCACUAAUUUUCAAUAAAACUUGAAAGCUAGUUGAUUUACCACCGAGUUAUAAUACAACUGGAUGUAAAUGGAUCCUAGGUUAAAACUGAAUGAAUUUGUUGAUAAAUACAAGGCUAGGUUAGUGGCUAAAGGUUUUAAGUAAUUAGGAGAUCUAAAUUUUUUUGAUAUUUUUUCUCUAAUAACUAGAAUUACGUCCAUUGGACUUUUAGUUGCUAUUGCGGCAAUUUUUGAUUUGCAAAUUUAUCAAAUAGAUGUAAAAUCAAUUUUUUUAAAUGAAGGCCUAAAUGAGGAGAUUUAUAUGGAUCAACCCGAGUGUAUUGUCAAACUAGCCAAGAAAGCAAAGUGUGUAAACUUACUAAAUCCCUAUAUGGCUUAAAACAUGCACCAAAACAAUGACAUGAAAAGAUUGAUUCCUGCAUGAUUGAUAAUGGCUUUAAAGCAAAUGAGUGUGAUAAGUGAAUAUACCAUAAGUCUUGAAAUAAUUCACAUGUUAUUAUUUGCCUAUAUGUUGAUGAUUUAUUGAUCGUCGGCUCUAACAUGAAUGUUAUUGGAGAAACUAAAAAUAUUCUUAGAAGUCAUUUUGAUAUGAAAGAUCUUGGUGAGGAAAAUUUUAUUUUAGGAAUAAAAAUUACUAGAACAUAUGAUGAGAUUUUUCUUGACCAGCCACAUUAUGUUGAGAAAAUUUUGAAAACAUAUAGUUUUCUUGAUUGCAAGAAUAUUGUAAUUCCUUUUGAUUCUAGUGUUGUAACGAUCCGGAACUACCUCCUAAUCGCUACACGGUGCUUACGACCCCGAAGGACCACAAGUUAACCCGAGAGCUGGUAUCUGCUGUGAGCACUGAAUAAAAUAAUAACAAACGCGGAAGAAUAACUGAAAAGCCAUAAGGUUUUAGCAACUGAAAUUAAUACUGUCUCAUAGUUUCAAACAUCUAAGAACAAACUGGUAAUAUUGAUAAACAACUGACAAUAACAACUGAAAAACUAAUCAACUGUCUGUACUAGUCUAAAAGCCUCUAAUUGACUGACUGUGGAGUUGAUGGGACAAGCCCCCAACUAACUGGAUAACUGAACUACUAACAUACGGAAUAUAAGAUAACUCAUCCUCGAAGGAUGAUGACUCACCACUGAUGACUUUUGCUGAUGAGCGAUCUACCUAAGUACGGUUAGGAUCCGAGCGUCCGAACCUAUGAUAUGGGAUAUCAUAGCGUAAAAAACGAGUAUGCGAUCAGUACUUUGAAUGUACUAGUAUGCUAAGUGGGGUUAGGCUAAUAUGCAUGUUUCAUGGGCACAAGUAAUAAUUAACUGAAUGAAUAGAAAGAGGUACUGAAUAGAAUGCAUAAAUUUUAUAAAUGCUGAGAAUGCGUGAAAUCUAUAGAUAUUAUGGAUGCACGACCAAGCAUAAAACAUGUUCUGAAAACUAAAAUACGGAGUACUGAUAAAUGCGUACCUGAUAUCUGUAUGUUAUGGUCAAGCAAAACCAAAACUGAAUUACUGAGCUGAAUACUGGACUGAGACCGUGGGAGCUAACUAUAACCAACAUGCCCUAAUAUACUAUCAGGGUUCAACCAGUAACCCCAGUUAGAAGGGUGUCAGUACCGUGCCACACCACAGGUACUAACACUGGCUAUGUGGAUCCACUAAUCUGAAGUCCCGAAGGAUAAGGGUAUCAUGCCUAACUGACGGGGGACCCCUCAAAAUCUACGGCGGCGCCAUAGGUCUGGAACCUAGGGACUGCUACUAGUGCCUCAUGCCUAAUUGACGGGGGAGACACCAUCCUUAUGCUCACUCAGUGCUAAGUGUUACUCCCAACUGAAUGACACUAACUAUUAGACCAAUCUGUGUUUAACUGAAUAUAAUAAAUAGUCGAACUGAGAAUGCUCCUAUCUAUUCUGAGACCAUUCUGAAGAUACUAAAAACUAGGUAAGAAGCUAAAUUUUGGGUAUUCAAACCCCCAGGACUCGAUAACAAUAAUAGCAAGAUCAUACUAAAACUUGAGGACAUGAUAUGCAAGCAUUUAUUCAAAACUCUUUCUUGUAGGCAUUUUAUCAAACACUUGCAAUGCAAGGGUUAAGAUAAGCAUGGGGUUAGUUCUAAAGCUUGUAGAACUAGCAUGAUUUCAAUAAUAAAGUCCCCAAUUAUGUAUUAAAUCAACAACAACACCAUUAAAACAUAUGGGGUUUAAUAACAACAAGAAAUACGUGUAAACAUGGUACAGUAUCGAAGUUCAUGGGAAUUCAUGGUUAACAAUCAUAAUAAUCAUGUAAAAUUCAUAACUUUGAAUUUGAAAUUAGGUUAUUGAACUCCAUGGGUGAAAAGGACCCAUGGAUGAACAUCUAAAUAACUCAAAAGCUUAAAUCUUGAAGGAGAUUUACCUUUCUUGAAGGUUCUUGAAUGGUGACAUUUUGAUUCUUGAGUUUUCUUUAAGAACGGUUUGAAUCUUGUUCUUGGAGAUUGAUUUUGAAAGAAACUCUAAUUUUGAUGCUAUAGGUGAAUAUUGAGUUAUGUACUUUGAUUUGAUUUAAUUAGGUGUUAAAAAGGGUGGAAAAACUCAAAAAUCCCUUUAAAAACGACUUUAAAUCACUAAACAAAGGUGCGGGACGAUUUCGGUGACGACCCGUCAUCCUAGGGAUGGACCGUCCCUCUAACCAUCGCUCCAUGGACAGAAAAUAGGCUUACUGCCUCUGUUACGACGGUUUGGGCGACAGUCCGUCAGCCUUCCCUUCGCACUUUGGCAGUUCAGAUAACUCACUGUAAAACGGCCAUAACUUUUUACCCCGACAUCGGAUUUUGGCAAAAUUGUUAUCAUUGAAAAGAUAAUUCAAUUAUUUAUCUGUUGAUUUGUCAUUAACUCAAAAAUUCUUUGUAGAACGGAAUAUAUGCUCGUUGGAAGUUGAUUAUACCAAUAUCUUUCUCAAGAAUUCAAUCGGUAAGGGAUGUUUUGAUUUGCCUAAUAGCUAGGACAUAUUUGAGGCCUUAAUAGACAUCAAAUUUGAUCAUAAAGCUACCAAUGCACUAUAAUUUAUCUCUCAUGAGCUUGAAUCAUGGUUCUACUAUCGGUCGAGAUUCUCAGGGUAUUACAAUAUCUUUCAUUUAGGAACAUUCGUCCUCGAAUGAGGUUGGUUAAGCUGAGCACACUGAGGAAUUGAAGUUACAUGCUAAACAUACUUACCGAAAACAUAAUUAAAUGGCCAGGCAUGAAUCAUGAUACAUGACUGAACUGGUUUCGUGAAUACAUGAUGACAUGANNNNNNNNNNNNNNNNNNNNNNNNNNNNNNNNNNNNNNNNNNNNNNNNNNNNNNNNNNAAUCUGAGUCUGCAUUCGUGGAGAAAAGAUGAGGGUACUUGGUAUGCAUGUCUUCUUCUGCUCCCCAAGUGACUCCCUCAACGGACUGGUUCCGCCAAAGAACUUUAACCAAGGGAACUUCUUUAUUCCUUAGUCUACGAAUUUGGCGAUCAAGGAUCUCGACUGGAACUUCUUCGUAAGAAAGAUUGUUCUGAACAUCUAUAAUUUCUAAUGGGACAACUACAGCUGGAUCACCAAUACACUUCUUCAAUAAUGUGAUAUGGAACACUGGGUGCACUGAUGCUAAGUCUGCAGGCAACUCAAGCUCAUAAGUCACCUUUCCAAAAUGACUCAAUAUUCUGUAAGGGCCAACAUAUCGAGGACUAAGCUUCCUCUUCUUACCAAACCUCUUUACCCCCUUCAUGAGAGAGAUCUUUAAAUACACAAAAUCACCAAUCUCAAACUCAAGAUCCUUUCUCCUCACAUAUGCGUAUGCUUUCUGUCGGCUUUGGGUUGUCCUAAGUCUCUCCCGGAUCAAUUGAACUUUCCCUAAAGCAUCGAACACCAAGUCAGGCCCUUCCAAAGCUGUCUCACCUACCUCAAACCAACCAAUUAGAGAUCUACAUAUCCUCCCAUAAAGAGCCUCAAAUGGAGUCAUCUGAAUACUGGAAUGGUAGUUGUUAUUAUACGUGAACUCAAUCAAAGGCAAGUGAUCAUCCCAACUACCCCUAAAAUCAACUACACACGCUCUCAACAUAUCCUCAAGGGUCUGAAUAAUCCUCUCCGCCUGACCAUCUGUCUGAGGGUGAAAGGUUGUACUGAGGUAGACUUGGGUACCAAGACCCUUCUGGAAAGAUUUCCAAGAGUGAGAGGUAAACUGAGUACCUCUAUCUGAGAUUAUAGAUUGAGGAACACCAUGCAACCUAACCAACUCCCUAAUAUAGAGCUUGGCAUAGUCUUCAGCUGAAUAAGAAGUAUGGACUGGUAAGAAAUGGGCUGAUUUGGUCAUUCUGUCCACAAUGACCCAAAUUGAAUCAUGCUGACGACGGGUAUGAGACAAACCUGUCACAAAAUCCAUGUUCACUUCCUCCCACUUCCAAGUGGGAAUAGUGAACUCCUUUAUAGACCCACUAGGCUUUUGAUGUUCAAUCUUAACCUGUUGAUAAGUGGAGCACUUUGCCAUAAACUCUGUAAUAUCUCUCUUCAUACCACUCGACCAAUAGAUUUUCCACAGAUCGUGGUACAUCUUCGUGGCCCUUGGAUGAAUAGAGUUACGAGCACCAUAUACUUCUGCAAGAAUUCGAUGUCUCAAAUCAUCUACCCACGACACAUACAGUCUACCCUGACAAUGCAACACACCAUCUCCUCCUUGGGAGAAAACCUCUACUUUCUGAUCUCCGACUGAUUCCUUCAACUUAACCAGACUUGGAUCCCUAUCUUGUUUUUUCUUUCACUUUGGCAACCAAAGAGGAUCCCGAACUAUUUUGAACCAUACACUACCCUCAGUUAAAUCGACCAAAUGAACACCUAAUCUGGUAAGAUGAUGAACUUCCCUAACUAACUCUUUCUUAUCAUCCUCAACAUGAGUAACACUACCCAUAAACAAUCUACUUAAGGGAUCUGCCACUAUAUUGGCCGUGCCCGGGUGGUACAAAACACUAAUAUCAUAAUCUUUUAAUAAUUCUAACCAUCUCCUCUGCUGCAAAUUCAAAUCCUUCUGUGAAAACACAUACUGUAAGGUUUUGUGAUUUGUGAACACAUCAACAUACACCCCAUACAAAUAGUGCCUCCAAAUCUUUAAGGCAAACACAACAGCUGCUAACUCAAGAUCAUGGGUAGGGUAAUUUUUUUCAUGAGGCUUAAGCUGCCUAGAAGCAUAAGCUAUAACCUUACCUCUCUGCAUGAAAAAACAACCCAAUCCAACUCUGGACGUAUCACAGUACACAAUAAGAAAUACGUGUAAACAUGGUAUAGUAUCGAAGUUCAUGGGAAUUCAUGGUUAAAAAUCAUAAUAAUCAUGUAAAAAUCAUAACUUUGAAUUUGAAAUUGGGUUCUUGAACUCCAUGGGUGAAAAGGACCCAUGGAUGAACAUCUAACAUACCUCAAAAACUUGAAUCUUAAAGGAGAUUAACCUUUCUUGAAGGUUCUUGAAUGGUGACGUUUUGAUUCUUGAGUUUUCUUGAAGAAGGGUUUGAAUCUUGUUCUUAGAGAUUGAUCUUGAAAGAAACUCUAAUUUUGAUGAUAUGGGUGAAUAUGGAGUCAUGUGCUUUGAUUUGAUUUAAUUAGGUUUUAAAAUAGGUGGAAAAGACCUAAAAAUUCCUUUAAAAACAGCUUUAAAUUGCUAAACGGAGGUGCUAGAUGGUUUCAGCGAUGACCCAUAGCCCAAGGGACGGAUUGUCCCUCAAACCGUCGCUCCAUGGCUAGAAAAUAGGCUUACUGCCUCAGUUGUGACGGUUUGGGCGACGGUCCGUCCGCCUUCUUGUCGCACUUUGGCAGUUCGGAUAGCUCAUUGUAAAACGGCCAUAACGUUUUACCCCAAUAUCGAAUUUUUGUGAAAUUGAUAUCGUUAGAAAUAUAAUUCAAUUAUAUAUCUUUUGAUGGGUCAUGAGUUCAAAAUUUCUCUGUAUAACGGAAGAUAUGCUCGUUAGAAAUUGACUAUACCAAUAUCCUUCUCAAGAAAUCAAUCCGUAAGGGAUGUUUUGAUUAGCCUAAUAGCUAGGACAUAUUUGAGGCCUUAAUACACAUCAACCUUUGACCAUAAAACUACCAAAGCACUAUAAUUUAUCUCUCAUGAUCUUGAAUCAUGGUUCUUCUAUCGGUCAGGAUUCUCGGGGUAUUACAAGUGUUCAAUUAUUUCCUGUUGAAAGUGAAAAUAAUGUGAUUAACCAAAAGAAAUAUGCUAGAAUAAUUAGAAGUUUGAGAUAAGUGAUUGAUGUAAUAGGCCUGAUAUUGCAUAUGCAUUAGGAGUACUUAGAAGGUUUAGUAGCAAUCCAGGUAAUGAACAUUGACAUGCAAUAAUGAGAGUAGUGAGAUAUUUAAUCGAAAUGAAAACUUGUGGUUUGUUCUAUAAAGAAUAAUCUUUUGUACUUAAAGGCUUUUCUGAUGCGGAUUGAAAAAUUUUAUCAGGUGAUUCCUUAUCUACUACUGGUUAUAUUUUUACUUUGGGUGGUCGUACUAUUUAUUGAAAAUCUAAAAAACAAACUAUUAUAGCAAACUCUAUCAUAGAGGCUGCACUAAUUACUUUCGCUUCAGUUAGUGAGGAAGCGAAUUGGUUAAGAAAUUUGUUAUUCAAAUACCUUAUUUUGAAAAAUCAAUUCCUUCUAUUUUUAUUUAAAGCGAUAGCACCGCUGCAAUUGAUAGAGUUCAAAAUCGUUAUUACAAUGGUAAAUUCAGACCUAUAAGGAGAAAACACAGUAAUGUGAGAUAUUAGUUGAUAAAUGAUAACACUGAUGUUGAUUACAUCAAAUUAAGCCUAUCAAAUGGGCCGGUUUAACCUGGCUCGAAUCGACCCACUUAAACGGCCCGACCUGGUCCAAUCAACCCCUGAGCUGUAGGGUACCGAGUCCCGGGAUGAGCCAAGUUUAAAAUUGGGCCCAGUUAACCCGACUCAGACCAAAACCAAUCCAAGCCCUCCGGUUAACCGUCCCGACCCAUCCCGGAUAACUUUUUUCAAAACAAAAUUAGGAUUUUUGACCGUUGGGCCACAAGUAGCCGUUGGCCCAACGGCUAAAUGGCCAUUUUUCGGUCCAAACGGCUACUUAGCCCUUUUUAAUUAAAAAAGAAGAAGUUUUUUUUAUUUAAAAUAUUUUUUUAAACCCCAAAAAAUUCCUAUAAAUACCCUGCACUUUCAAAUUAUUUUCACACAAUUUUCAUUCUCUCAAAUCUCAUUCUCUCUCAAAUCUCAAAUCUCAAUUCUCAAAUAUUUUAUACAUUUCCUAAAGUGCUCAAUUUAAUUUUUUAAUUUUGUGAUUACAAAGUACGAGUGAAAGUUUCUAAAGUCGCAACUUUCGGAUACUUCCAAAAUUUGGUAUUGUCUUUCCAUCUCUUACUUUUAAUUUUUAAUUAGUGUAUUAAUUGUUGAAUAUUUAAUUUUAUUAUAUUUGUUUAUUUUGAAUUUUUUUAGUUUAAUUUAUAUUAUGAAUAAAUUAAGAAACCUCGUCAAUAAAAAUGUAAAAAAAAAAUAUUCCGAAAGUGGUAGUGAUAGUAAAAAGCGAAUUACUGGCAGUAGAGGUAGUUCAAGUAGUAGAUAUACCUGUGUGCCUCCGGUACCGCUUAACCUUUUGAGGAAUAAGUAGGUGUAGGUGCUAACGAUAUGAAUUAUGUAGAAGCUCAGGAAAGUUAUGGUAUAGAAGAAGAAAAUGAAGUAGAUUCGGUUGAUUUAGACGAAGAUAAUGAAAAUAUUAGUGAGACACCCGCCAGUAGAAAAUGCUAACGUUAGAUCUGAAUCGGUUAAUCACCCUCCCCUGACCCCAAGAGAUCGUAGAACAACUAGUAUUGCAUGACAAUUUUUUACACGUCUAAGACAUACUAAUGAGGUGCAAUACAAUAUUUGUCAACAAAUAUAUAACCAUAAAAGAGGAGGCGUGCAAGGGGGUAUGGGUACGUUAAGGAGACAUAUAGGUGAUAAUCACGAAAGAGAGUUAUUUAUUGAAAAAAGUGGUGAGGAUGUUGGUGGGUCAUCACAAACUAGAAUGAAUCCAACAACCGGUCAGGUAAUUAAGAAGUAUAAUAAAUUAAGGGACCGAGAGAAAAUAGCAAAAAUGAUAGUUUUGGGUUGUUUGCCUUUCAAUUUUCCUUCUUCGAAUGCUUUUAUUCAUUAUAUUCAAGCAAUUUAUAAUCCUAUGUUUAAUGGUAUUUUUAGAAGUACUUUUCGGACUGAUAUUUUUAGACUUCAUUCACAAUAUAUUUUUUAUUUAUCUAUAUUGUUAAAAAAUAUUCAAUGUAGAAUGGCUCUAACUUCUGAUCUUGGUCGUGCUGUUAAUAAAAAUAAUUAUUUAACCAUUACUUGUCACUGGAUAGAUAGUAAUUUUGUUAUGUAAAAAUGUAUUCUAGCUUUUUGUAUGAUGAAGAUCGUAAACAUACUGGAGAAUUUAUUGUUGAUUCAAUUGGUAAAGUUGCAGAAUUUUAUAGUAUUGAAAAUAAAGUCUUAUGUAUUGCUUUUGAUAAUGCUUCUAACAGCAAGACUGCUAUUACAAAGUUAAAAGCUAGGCUCUCUCCGCCGUUACCUAAAAUAUUUCAUGUUAAGUGUGAUUGUCAUAUGUAUAAUUUAAUUAUAAGAGAUGGUCUUGAAUUUUUUUAUCUUUAUAUUAAAAAAAAUUCGGCUUGUUGUUGGUUUUAUUCAAGAAAAUAAUCGAAGAAAAAGAAUUAGAGAAUUUAAAGUUAAAUGUGAACAAAAUGGACUUGCACCAAUAUUGAUGCCUGAAGAAUGUGAUACUAGAUAGAAUGCUACGUAUGAUUUUAAAAACUUGUCAUACUUAUAGAGUUCCUAUUACACUAACUUUUAACCAAUAUUGUGGUUAAUUUGUUGAUUCGGCUGAAUAUAUGCUACAUGAUUCUGAUUGGACUGUAAUUGAUGAUCUUGUUAAGUUUUUGAAAAAAAUUUAUAUAGCUACGGUUGAAUUUUAUGGUGCUUAUUAUUCUACUGUUUGUAAUAUUUUAGUAUAUAUAGCCGAUAUUUCUGAUUUGCUCAAAGAAUAUAAGAAUAAAGAAGGUUACAAAGAAGCUGUUGGUGCUAUGUUUGCUAAAUUUUAAAAAUAUUUUUUUCUGAUUCUUCCUAUUUACUUGGUUGGUGCUAUGCUAAAUUCGUAUAUGAAAUAUACUACUAUGUGCCACUUUAGUACUCUAAUUUAUUCUAACUUAGAGAUAAAUACUAACAAUGAUUCUGAUAAUUAAGAACAAGAAUAACCAGAUUUGUGGACGGCUAUGGGUGAUGCGAACGCUUACAUAGAUAAAUUAUAUAACCAUUAUGCUGAUUUACUUGAUUUAGUUGUACCGGCAAAUAUCACUCCAACUGUCGCUCCUCAUCCUCCUGAGGAGCCAUCAUCUUCUAAAAGGCCGGCACAUAGUAGUUUUCCUGAUCACUUUUAUAAUUUAAAUAUUUGGAACAAUGUUGAGGCGGGAACUUACACAUUAACUUAUCAGGAAGAGAUUAAGUAUUAUCUUCGAACGCCGCUAAAGGAUCGUAGAUGACGGAUCAACGCAUUGGAUUGGUGGAAGAAUAAUAAAACACAAUAUCCUAUGCUUUCAAGAUUAGCUAGAGAUAUAUUGAAUGUUCCAAUAUCAACAGUUGCAUCGGAGAGUGCUUUUAGUCAGGGACGACAACAACUUGGAGACAACCGACACUCAUUGGAAAACAAUGCUAUGAAUGUUCUAGUUUACUUUAGAGAUUGAAUUAGAGCGGAACGAAGAAAUCAACGAAUUAGGGUGGAGCCAAAAGACGAAUAGAAACUUGAAGAAAUUAUGAUUUCAAGGGAGAACUCAGCAAAAUCAAGUCCAAUGCAUGAUUUUACCCCCAUUGAUUUUGACUAUCCUAUGCCAGUUUCCGUUAAUGUUAACAUGAAUGAGUUGAAAAAAAUGAUGAAAACUUUGUAGAUUUUUCAUUCAUGUACAUUAUAAAUUUUGAAUCAUCUUGCAAUCAAUAAAUAUAACAUUCAUUCACUCUUUACUUUGUAAUUUUUUCUAUUUAAUGAUUUAAAUUGAAUUUCUAGUUUAAAUUAAAUACUUAAUUUUAAUAUAUUACUAAUUUACUAUCAAGUUUUACACUAAGUAAUAGACAAUUUUAUACAAACAUAUAACCAUAUAUACACAUAAUGAAAAAAUAAUUUUUUUUUUUAAGUUCAAAACCCCAAGUAUUAUUAAUUUAUUAUAUUAAGCAGCAUAUUAUUAAAGUUGUACAUAUAUUAAAUGGUACGUAUAUAUGUGUAUAUAUAGAGUAUAGACUCUAAAGUAAUAUAUAUUUAUGGUAUACAUGUGUAUAUAUUUUAUAAAUUAGUAUAUAUAUUGUAGUAUAUAUCUUGAAUUAUAUGUUUUAUUUAAAGUAGUAAAUAUAUUGAAUGGUACGUAUAUAUGUGUAUAUUUAGAGUAUAGAUUCUAAAGUAGUAUAUAUUUAAGGUAUACAUGUGUAUAUGUUUUAUAAAUUAUUAUAUUAUAUAUCUAUAAUAUAUUAAAAGUGUGAAGCCCUUAGAAAAGUGAUUUGAACUUUUUGUCCUUCGUUAAAGGACCCUCCUAUAGACAAAACUGUCUUUUCACUAUUUUUAAAUUUAUUAUUUAAUUAUUUUUAUUAUAUUAACUAGACUCUCCUAAAAUAUAUGAAAGAAGAAUCGAUUAAUAUUUUCCUUUGCAGUGAUCAAUUAAAAAAAUACUUCUAAAAUAAGAUAGAAAAAUACUUCUAAAAUAGGACUAUACUAAGAAAAUACUUUUAUAAAUAUUGAGAUGCACGUUAAAUUAGAGAAGAAAUCGGUUUACUUAAGCUUUGUGAUCACUAUUGCAUUAUUUUAUUGUAGUUUAUAGGUCGUAGAUUAAUUUACAGGUGCUAGACGAAUGUCGGUUGGCUUGGCGAAACUUUUUAGGUAAAGAUUAGGUUUAAUUGUAUUAUUUUUAUAUUUCUGCUUUGACAAUUUUUUUUGUACAAAGGUAAAGUUUAGUUGUGUUAUUUUGAUAUCUCUAUCAUCGUAUUUUUUUGUUAUAGUUGGUGGUAGAUGAGUGUCAGACGGUUUUGAGAAAUUUUUUGUGUAAAGGUUAGAUUUAAUUAUAUUAUUUUAAUGUCUCUAUCAUCGUAUUAUUUUGUUGCAGUUUACAGGUGAUAGAUGAAUGUCGAUUGACUUUGACAAAUUUUUUUGAUGAAGUUUAGGUUUAAUUAAAUUGAUUCUUCAAAAGAUGUUGAAUUUAAUUAUUGUAUUCACCUUUAUUAUUUAAACAAAUAUCCUAUUUAGUAUAACGUUUAAACUCAAUAAAGUGAGGUAUAUGCGCGAAGAGCGUACAUCUAAACUAGUAUAUAUCUUGAAGUAUAUGUUUUGUUUAAAGUAGUACAUAUAUUGAAUGGUACGUAUAUAUGUAUAUAUAUAGAGUACAGACUCUAAAGUAGUAUAUAUUUAACGUAUACACGUGCAUAUGUUUUAUAAAUUAGUAUAUUAUAUAUAUAUAUAUAUAUAUAUAGGGUUGAUCCCAGGGGUCACCCGCUAAAUAGGAAUAACUCCACAAGAGAGGUAUUUACCCGUGGCAUGGUACUGACACCUUUCCAACUGGGGUUAUAGGUUGGACCCCAAGUUAGCUAGAGGAGGCAUGUCGAUUAGAUGACUACUUCCCACAGUCUUGAUUUCAGAAUCAAUCUCAGUAGAGGAACUCAGCUCAGUAGUACAGAGUAAGGACUGUCAGAUACAGUCAAUUGUUAUGAUUAUCAAUAGACUCAGAGAUCACCUGCUAGAUAGGACUGAUCUCAGAUUUCAAAUGCGCAUUCCCAUUAUCAUUAAGAUUUUAGAGAUCACCUACUAGAGAGGACUGAGCUCAACUUUAGUACUCAGUUAUUGAUAUCAGAAGAUUUAGUUAUUCAGUUUCUCAGUAUUAGUAGUGAGUUUGUUUUAUUUAAAGUAGUACAUAUAUGUAAUGGUACGUAUAUAUGUGUAUAUAUUUUUUAUAGACUCUAAAGAGUAUAUUUCUAACGUAUACAUGUGUAUAUGUUUUAUAAAUUAAUAUAUAACUACAUAUAUAGUGUGUAUAUAUUGUAGUAUAUAUAAAUUAGUAUAUAUCUUGUAGUAUAUGUUUUAUUUAAAGUAGUACAUACAUUGAAUGGUACGUAUAGAUGUGUAUAUAUAGAAUACACUCUAAAGUAGUAUAUAUUUAAGGUAUACAUGUGUAUAUGUUUUAUAAAUUAGUAUAUAUAUUGUAGUAUAUAUCUUGUAGUAUAUGUUUUAUUUAAAAUAGCAUAUACAUUUAACUAACGUAUAAUCGUAUACAUGAUUACAUGUGUAAUUGUGUAUAUGUUUUUUAAAUUUUAAUGUAGUAUAUACUAUAUAUUGUGUGUAUAUCAUUUAAUGUAUUUAAAAUGUAUAUAGGUGGAUAUAUAUAGUUUAUAUUGGAGAAAAAACUUUAUUUUUUUAAAAUUUUGAUCAGUUUUGACCAAAUUUUUGAUCGAAUUUGACUGGAUUUACCCGUGUUGGGUUUAAUGGACCGAUCCCGGGUUGUUUCUUAAAAUUUUACUGUUGAGACCGGAACCGGACCAGCCCGUUUAACCAAGCCCAGAUCUGAACCGGCCCACAAACGGAAUAAAAGUGACGGUCCGAUUCCGGGUUGACCCGGCCUAACCCCGUUAAUAGGUUUAUAUCAAAUCUUGUGAUAAUCUUGUAGAUCCAUUGACUAAGUCUUUAGCAAGAGACAAUGUGUGGAGUACCUCGAGGGGGGUGGGGUUGAAGCCUAUAAAAUCUUGAAUCAUUUGUGCGAAAACCUAUAACAUCCAACAUUUUUGGGCUAGAAUUCAAAUCAUUGUUCCUAAGUAUACAGACAUGAACCCAAUGAUUGUAUGUCUAUAUAUGUGUGAUUAUCAGUUCUAUAGUGUGGUAAUAUACUUUUAUAUAAAUCGAGGUCAUAAAAAUCUCCUAACUCAAAGAAGAGUUGAGGACUCUUCUAUCGAUAGAGUUUUAACGAAUUUGAAAAAUCUUAGUAGCUUAAUUGGUUAGUUACCUGAACUUCCACCUUGUUGGUGAGGGUUCGAUUCCCCACAUUGUAAUCCCCUCUCCCAUUCCCCUUCCCCUACCCCCCAAUUUAAAAAAAAAAUAAAAUUUUAACGAAUUCUCCAACUAGGGUCCACUUUAGACGAGUGUAUCUCCUAGAAUAUAUCAAUUCAGGUGUCCCACUAUAUAUCAAAUGAAAGGUCUUCGAGUCGUCUUUCCAAUUCACCUAAUUUCACCUUAAUCCGAUAUCAGAAUGGAAAAUAUGCUCAUUUUACCUAAGCACGCUCAUCUGACAACAAAAAUGAUAACUUGAGGUGAUAAUCCGUCAACUAAGUGACGACUUAUCAACCAAGUCGUCAGCCUUAACCAGAAUGUGAUCAAUUUCAGCUACAAAGUGACGACUUGAUGUGAUAAGCCAUCAACUAGGUGACGACUUGUCAGUCAAGUCAUCACUUUAAGACACCACAAAAUCCUAAACUUGACUCAGUCCUUUAAAACCUACUAAGGGGUUCUAGACUUAGAAAAUUGUAGCUAAGUAUCAAGACUUAGAAUCAUUUUAAACUUCCAAAUUUGGAGGAUUUUAUUUUCGAUCUUCCCGGCCAUAGUUAGUCGAUUUUUAAAUUGAUUCAUGAUCAGGGUCACUUGUAGGCCAUCUCGGGCAAGUUUCAAGUUUUUUCGACAAGUGUAAGGGCGAGUUUGGAUGCUAAAAAUAGUGAGGGGUUGUGAUGGCCCGUAUCGCGGGCCCAGUCAACCUAGCUAGGGGUCACAUUGCGAUAGGUAGUUGUAAUGCCCCGAAAAUGAGUUCCGAGACGUCACACGAUGUUUAGGGUCACAAGUGACCCCAAGCUAACCAACCCUUCUACUGGCAUAACUCAUACGCAACUGAAUAAAAUACAUAAAACUGUACAAAAUCAGCGAACAAUAACUUUCUGAAUCCAUACUAUACAAAACUGAAUUUACAAGAUAACAACUCUGCUCUUAGAAACAAAACUGAAACUGAAUACAUCAGCUUCUACUGGCUGUCUAUGAAGCCUCUACUAGCAUUGACUUUAGAUAGCCAGGACAUGACCCCCAACUAUCGCAAAUCAAUACGACUGAAUAAAGAAAAUAUCAAGUUGUAGAACUGACUCGAGCCCUUGAAUCAAAAGGACUCAUCAUUUGCUGACUGGAAGCUGCAACUGUCUGAAUAUAGUAUGCGUGCUAUAACUGAACUGAUACCAACAUUAGAAGACAAUGUGUGCAUAGACGUAUAUGUGGAUCAGUACUUUGAGGAUGUACUGAAUAUAUGGAAGUGUAUGCAAUAGUUAAACAAUAUCAUCAAUCUUUAUAGAAAUCAUGCAUGUUAAAUAUAAAAUGACUCACAUAGCUUGAAUAAAAUUCUCAUAAGUUGAGGUUAGGAAAUAGAUAAUAGAAAUCACGUGAGUCGUUUCACUUUAUUCUGGAUCUCUAUUCUUACUUUGUUCUCAACUUGUAAAUUAGAUAAAAUCUUAAAGCAUCAACCUUCAGGACAUAAGCUAUAAUCUCAUGAAAGCAAGAAACUUCUUGGGAACUUAGUAAUCAUGACACUUGAAAACUUUAGAAAUCAUAGAAACCAUAGCCUUCAAAAUCAAUAUACAUUCAAACUCACACUUUUAGCUUAAGGAUAGUAACACUUCUUUAAAACUCAAGAACUUGAUACUUUAGGAACUUUAAGACUUGAGACUCUAGAAAACUUAAGAGACUUUGGGACACUUGGGACUCGGGAUUAUAUCUUUGGGAGUUUCUUCUAACCGACAUAAACCAUGUAAAUUACAGAGAGUCCAACGUUUUACCCACGUUGGGGAGAACUAUUCUAUCCUUUCCAUCGGAGUAGAACCUUUAACUUUUAGUGAUCACUAUCUUAACCCACUUGGGGUAAAUCAGAAACCUACGGGGGCACGUAGUUCUGGGCCAUGAGACCUAGGAAUCAAGCCUAACUUGGUGCUAAAUACUACUCCCUUACUUAGCUCAGAACUUUAAGAAAAUUCACCUUAAACAAUUCAACAAUAUGUAAUAGGAGUCAAUAUGCUUCCUCUUUUAUCUCAAAUCAAACAAACAAUGUGGAUUUCUUUCUUAGCUUAGGGUCAAAACUCAAUUCUUUUCUUGAAAUCUUGAUAGACUUUUCAUCAAAGUUUUAAAAUCUCAACGACAUGGAAAUAUAAGUACACUUCUUGGAGUAUCAAUAAUUCAUCCUCAAAGACUCACAACUUCACAAUAAAGUUCAACUCAUGACAACAACUCUUGGAAAUUCUUGGAAACAUGAUAUCAAUAUAGGAAUGUGCAAUUUAUAUCAAGAACUCUCAAGUUAGAUCAUACUUGAACAAAAUAAUCAUGCAAUUAGGACUUGAACAAUUCCCUAAUAUCAUAAACUUGAAAUAUAGCAAAACAAUAUGAAUUCAUUUUGGAAAUACGAAAUUCUUUAUGAAAAUCUAAAACUUUUGGGCACAAGAACAAAGAGUGUUCUUGUUCAAACCCCAUAUACCUCAAAUUAUGGACUCUUGCUUUUUGGGAUGCUAUUCAUACAAUUGAUAGGUGCUUCUUGUAGCCCUCUCAAUGGGGAAUCCGAAUCUUGAAAAAUUAUCGAAAACCUACGGAUGAAUCUUGAGAUAUUUAAAUUUUUAGGUUGAAACCCUAAUGAAUGGCCUUGGUGAUUUUGAGAGAAAAUAAACUUAUUUUGGUGUCUUAGGGAUUUAAUCCCGUGUUAAGGAUAAUAAAGGGGUGGAAAAUACCAUUUCUACCCUUAAUGAGAUUGAGGAAAAAAGCUGAAAACUAGGCAAAAAGACUAUGGCCAGGGCGGCGCCUUGCCUAGAGCCUUUGCUAAGCUAGGCGGCGCCUCCCUAUAGCCUUUAGCUACUAUUUCUGAAACCCAAACACGCCCUUAGGCUCGUCUACAAAUUUUGAAACUCACCCAAGAUGUACUCUUACCUUACCCCAUUGCAACGCAACAAAAAAAUCAAUAAACGGAGGUCGGGAAGGUCGCUAAAUAAUUCCCCGAAGUUUGAAGGUUCAAAAAUAAACUAAGUGUUGAGCACUUAGCAAAAUUUGUAAGACUUCUUUUGAUUCGUUUCGAAAGCCUUAACGAUGAGGGAACUUUACAGGGUCUUACAAUAUCUCCCCCUUAGGAACAUUCGUCCUCGAAUGUCGCUCGUAAGGCUAAGAGUACAAAGAAAACUAAGGAUUCACGGCUGAAAUAACUUGUUAAAUUGACUCUACUUCAUCUUAGACUUUCGGGUACUUCAUAGAAUGCAUGAACUCAUAAUAAGAAUAUUCAUAUAGCUGAAUCUUUGAUUAAAAAAAAGGACUGAAUUAAGGAAGGCUAUUAUCUUCGUCUGAAUCUGAGCUAACUUGCUUUACCUUAUCAUGGGGAGCUGACUCAUGCUAAGAGUUUAGAACUCUUUUAAUGAGCUCAUGGCAUGAUCGUACUUAUAGACUGCAAAGUGAUUGUUUAUGCAGGCAUAAUCAUGAGAAAAUGAGGCUAAGAUUACACAAUGGAUAUCACAUUGUUUGAACUAGAAUACUUGGAAAAUGAAGGUUGUUCAAUGAAUACUUAUGAACUAAGACAUGACUAGAUACCCGAAUCCUGAAACUGAAACUGAUGUACGAAUUGAACUGAGUUCGCAAUUUACAUGGAUGGAAUAGAUUAUAUCUUGGAAUGGUCAUAUGCAUGAGACUUGAGAUAGCAGGACUGGGUGAAAAAGGUGUAAAACCACACGAUCUUGUCUGCCUCACCGUAAAACUGAAUUGCUGGCUAUACUGACUGAAUUACACUGGAAACUUAUACAUAGUUGGAGUAUCUCUUCAACACUCCAUAACAUGGAAUAUAGACAUAUAACUCAUAAACUGGGAUAGAAUUACCAGGCUUUAGGCGAUGCAACUUCUUACCUUCAAGCUUAGCAGCAGUUCUCGAAUACUCCAUCAUCUAUACUAUUCCCCUUAAAUACAAUACUCACUUGAUUCAACUUAUAAUUCUCAUAUAGCACUAAUAUUUCCAUCUACUAAUAUCUAGACUGAAUUAAAUUCUCUCACCAUCUUUAAACCUAACUCAAAAUCAUAGGACGCACCACAUAAUACUGUAAUACUAGCCUAAACCAUAAAUUCAACACACCCUGCAUUUCACAACUUUUCAUCUCAUGCGAAAUUCUCAUUACCACUCCAACAAACACAUUUGACCUCGUACUAGACAUUUACUAACGCGCAAUACAUUCAUCCCAAUAUAUAUACAAACAAGAUGCUCAAGCCUACUUCUAUAACCACAUAUGAACUUCUAAACACACUCCCAUAAAAUACCUUUGUCACAACUUACAAACCUCUAUCAAGAACAACUUCCAUGCACUACUCCUAAGAAGACAUACAUAAGAUUUCAACUACCCAAACAUCGCAUAUAAAACUUCGACUAACCAUGACGGGUAUUAAAGACUUGGCUUCAAUCUUACUUCACACUCUACUGCCUUAACUAAAAUAAGCAUACAACUAUCUUCCAGUAACAAGAAAUGUUUAGUCUCUCCCAUCCAGACAACUGAUCAUCAUCACUAUCUUGACCGAAGAAAAGGUAAUAGAAGUUUAGAACAUGAGGGCCUGAAACAUAAAGGGAUACUGUGAACUCAACUGAGGCUUGAGGAAUAGAAUAUUUAGCAUCAUGAACUUAUCAAAGAGGUCUAACCCGAGGACAUGCAUGAUAUAAACCUGAAUUUCGCUGAUCAUUAAAAGUAUUGCUUGAAUACUUGAACUAAACAUACCGUAAAGCUUGAGUACAUGAGUCAUGAGCUACAUGACUUAAAUUUGGAGUUCAUAACUUAUGAAAUGUGAUUCCAACUGCCGAAAGAACUGGAACUCCUUAUUCUUGGGAAUUAAGGGAGUACAAAUUUCUCUAUCAUAUGCAUGAACAUGAAUUAAGAUCAUGAAACUGAACUUAAGGCAUGAGCAGAUAUUGGGACAACUGAAAUGAUAUUGGGUCGGGCAUUAUGAUUCCUUACAGCUGUUCUACAACUUAUUGGUACAUCUACUAGAAUCUAAAAGCUUGACUUGGUUACUUGUGCUAUCAUCUCCCCCUUAAACUUCAGCCAUCAUUCUAAGGCUGUGAACCACUAUGUAAACUCUAGUCUGGUUGCAAUCACUUUACUCUAGAGUCUGGAAUAUAACAAUGCACGUGAAUGAUAGAACUUAACCCAAAUGACUACACCUGAAAGGGUAAGACCAACUUCUAAUACAACCUUCUGAGCUACACCCUCUCUUUCUAUAGCCCCAAAAGUCAUUAUAUAAUAUUUGAACACUUCCUAGCUUUGAAUCCACAUAAGCAUCCCUAUAGUCGGAGUGCACACCAUUUAGUGCUUUAACUCUUAUUUCUAUUAUCUCAAUCUCCCAACUUUCAAAAUUAGAUUCUAACGCUUAAUAUGGGUAUCUCCAAACUUUUGAUGGACCAUACUACUUCUAUCAUAGCCUACCAAUAUCACACUUAUAAGCUUAUAUUUCUAAACCAUGAGAAUCAAAAUCAUACUUAACAGGCUCAACACCGUCAAUCAUAACUCCUUAACUUAGUUAUCAAGAACAUCGUACAUUAUCUAAUGAGUCUUUCUCCACCUAGAAACUCAACAGUACUACUAACCACACAACAUGCAAUGAUCCUCGAAAAUAAUGCAGCCCUAUAGCACCUUGGGCGUCCUUCUACAUCAUGUUUACAACAUCAGACAUGAUUACGAAUCAAAUAAACUUAAGCUCUUUCACACACUGUUCAAGCCUACUAGAUCAUUCAUGUACGUCUAACAUCCACAACACAUCAAUCAUUAUAUCCACCUUGCUCAUCAUCUAUGAUUCGAACUUGUCAACUAUUCAUACCUGUCAAACAUCCAAAGAUUCUAGUCUGUUAAAAUCUCAUAACAUUAAGGAUCAAUCACAACCCUAUGAUCUAUCUUAUUUAAAAUCCAUUAACACACUCUCCUUCUACACAUCAUUACUAUCUACCAAGUAUUUUCAUCAAUAACUUAUACCUUUCUAGCACAACAAACAUUAUCAACAACUCUCUUCACACUUCAAGCAAACAUCAAUUCACCUUAACUAAUAACUCCUUCUCUAUCUUCUACUAAACUAACACAUAAGGACAUAUCACUUCUCAAAUGCCCUGUAGCCUCUCGAAGAAAAGUACAGACGUCUCCAUAGCGUUCCACAAGACUCUACUAGAGACGACUCACCCUAGGACUCUUGAACUCUAUGCUUUGAUACCAAAUUUGUAAUGCCCCGAAAUGAGUCCCGAGACGUCACACAGUGCUUAAGGUCACAAGUGACCCCAAGCUAACACUUUAAUUGGCAUAACUCAUAUGCAACUAAAUAAAAUACAUAAAUCUAUACAAAAUCAGCGAAAAAUAACUCUUCUGAAUCUAUACUAUACAAAACUGAAUUUACAAAAUUACAACUCUGCUCUUAGAAACAAAACUGAAACUGAAUACAUCAACUUCUACCGACUGUCUAUGAAGCCUCUACUAGCAUUGACUUUAGAUAGCCGAGACAUGACCCCCAACAAUCCCAAAUCAAUACGACUGAAUAAAGAAAAUAUCAAACUGUAAAACUGACACGAGCCCUUGAAUCAAAAGGACUCAUCACUUGCUGACUGGAAGCUGUAACUGUCUGAAUAUAGUAUGCGUGCUACAACUGAACUGAUACCGACAUUAUGAGAUAAUAUAGCACAUAGAUGUAUAUGUGGAUUAGUACUUUGAGGAUGUACUGAGUAUAUGGGGGUGUAUGCAAUAGUUAAACAAUAUCAUCAAUCUUUAUAGAAAUCAUGCAUGCUAAAUGUAAAUGACUCACAUAGCUUGAAUAAAAUUCUCAUAAGUUGUGGUUAGGAAAUAGAUAAUAGAAAUCACAUGAGUCAUUUUACUUUAUUCUGGAUCUGUAUUCUUUCUUUGUUCUCAACUUGUAAAUUAGAACCUUUAACUUUUAGUGAUCACUAUCUUAACCCACUUGGGGAAAAUCAGAAACCUACGGGGGCAUGUAGUUCUGGGCCAUGAGACCUCGAAAUCAAGCCCAACUCGGUGCUAAAUACUACUCCCUUACUUAGCUCAGAAAUUUAAGAAAAUCCACAUUAAACAAUUCAACAAUAUGUAAUGGGAGCCAAUAUGUUUCCUCUUUAUCUCAAAUCAAACAAAUAAAACAAAUAAUGUGGAUUUCUUUCUUAGCUUAGGAUCAAAACUCAAUUCUUUUCUUGAAAUUUUGAUAGAUUUUUCAUCGGAGUUUUAAAAUCUCAACAACAUGAAAUAUAAGUACAUUUCUUAAAGUAUCAAUAAUUCAUCCUCAAAGACUCACAACUUCACAAUAAAGUUCAACUGAUGACAACAACUCUUGGAAAUUCUUGGAAACAUGAUAUCAAUAUAGAAAUAUGCAAUUUAUAUCAUGAACUCUCAAUUUAGAUCAUAAUUGAACAAAAUAAUCAUGCAAUUCAAGACUUGAACAAUUCCCUAAUCUCAUAAACUUGAAAUAUAGCAAAAUAAUAUGAAUUCAUCUUGAAAAUCUGAAAUUCUUUAAGAAAAUCUAAAACUUUUGAGCAUNNNNNNNNNNNAAAGAGUGUUCUUGUUCAAACCCCACAUUCCUACAAUUAUGGAUCUUGCUUUUUGGGAUGUUAUUCGUACAAUUGAUAGGUGUUUCUUGUAGCCCUCGCAAUGGAGAAUCCGAAUCUUGAAAAAUUAUUGAAACCCUACGAUUGAAUCUUGAGAUAUUUGGAUUUUUAGGUUGAAACCCUAAUGAAUAUCCUUGGUGAUUUUGAGAGAAAAUAAACUUAUUUUGGUGUCUUAGGGAUUUAAUCCCGUGUUAAGGAUGAUAAGGGAGGGGAAAAUACCAUUUCUACCCUCAAUGAGACAGAGGAAAAAAGUUGAAAACUAGGCAAAAAGGCUGGCCAGGGCGGCGCCUUGGGCAGCGCCUAGCCCAGAGCCUUUGCUAAACUGGGCGGUGCCUCCCUAUAACCUUUAGCUACUGUUUUUGAACCCAAAGACGCCCUUAGGCUCGUUUAUAAAUUUUGAAACAUACCCAAGAUGUACUCUUACCUUGCCCCAUCGAAACGCAACAAAAAAAUAAUAAAUGGAGGUCGGGAAGGUCACUAAAUAAUUCCCCGAAGUUUGAAGGUUCACUAAUAAACUAAGUGUUGAGCACUUAGCAAAAUUUCUAAGUGUAAGAUUUCUUUUGAUUCGUUUCGAAAGCCUUAACGACGAGGGAACUUUACGGGGUCUUACAAUAUCUCCCCCUCGGGAACAUUCAUCCUCGAAUGUCGCUCGUAAGGCUAAGAGUACAGAUAAAUCCAUAUGUUUACCAAAAAUGCCUAAGUGAAAUAAUUGUGCAAUUUGAUCCAUUAUUGAUCUUAAUUAUGAAAUCAUGAAAGAACUACAUGUCUAAAGGACUCCCAUGUUAAAGUUAUGCCUUGAAGGUGUUUGUUGAAAUGCCUAUGUGAAUCAUUAGUGUACUUAUGACAUGAUAGCAUGUAUCCCUAUAUAUGUACAAGUUCAAGAUUUACAAGUGUUUGAUGAAAUGCCUUAGAAAGUGAAUUAUGAACAUGUGGCCAUUGUCGUGCCUUUAAGAUUUAUGUUACGCUUUACUCUUUACGUUAUCAAGUCUUGGAUGACGACCUUGAUGAGCAUAUGCAACCAGUCUUAGACUCUACCCCUCAGCCCAGAAUUGAUCUCAGCGGAACUCCAAAACAUGGGCCAGAGCCUCCCCUUCUUUCUUCCUAAAAUGCCUGAGCUCCUGAGAGAGGGCCCAAUUUUUAUCAAAUCCUAUGGGGAGCUCCCACAAAUUCCACUUCUCACAAACGAAAUAGACAUUCCACAUCAUCGACUUUCGAUGGAAAUAAUGGAAAGAGCGAAAACCAUGGAGGCUCUAAGGCAAACAACAGGGAAAUAGAGAAACUCCUGGCAUUAUUAAAGGUCCCAGAGCAAAGGUCAUACUUCUAGGAAGGCCUAUCUCUCAAACAUUCGAGGAACUUAUCAGCGUGUUUCUAAUUGUCCUACUUACCCCAGAACUAAACCAGUUCGAUCUAUAAGUCAACCUCCCAAAGUCAAACAUCUUCUACUUCAGCCAAGAUGACCCCGAUAUCCAAGAAAAGAAAAGAACCAACGUCAACCUUUCUCCCUCGCUUAAUGGACAAGGGGAAAAGAAUACUAGAUCCAGCCCAUCAUAAGCCCCCCCCCCCCCCAUCCUCCUCUAUGAUGACUUCAAUAAUAUCAAAUGUUAGAGGAGCAAAGAAUGCUGAGUUCAGAAGGCAUUGUCAAUCAAUGGUUAACAUUCACAAGCCUUUUCUGCCUACCCUCCUAAUAAAGACAUUGCUGAAACUUUGGGUUUAAAUAGCCAAAUUCAAUUCCCUACUACGGGUAGCGUAUGAGGUAUUGUUAUCAUGUGGGAUAAUUCUACUUUGGGUAUUCAAAACAUUGUUAUUUUCCCUCAGGGCAUUCAUGUGGCUGUAAAGGUAAUUAGCCCUUCUUCCUCUUGGUACUUUAGUGUUAUAUAUGCUAGUAAUAGUUUUGAAGUUAGGAAAAGUCUUUGGGCUUAACCUCAUCGAGUUUGCUAACUCUAUUGCUGGUGAGUCUCCUAAUACCUAGAUUAUUGGAGGGGACUCUAGUGAAGUCCUUAAAGCUCAGAGAAGAUUGGUGGCAAUAAUAUCAAUAUAACUAGAGCGACUGCCUUCUCAGAUUGCAUCAAUAAUUAUAGCCUUGUGGAUUAGGUUUCAAAGGCAGCAAGUAUACUUUGUCUAAAAAAAUAUUUAGGAAUAGAAGGGGACUCAUUCUUGAAAGGCUAGAUAGAUGUCUAGCCAAUGAGGCUUGGAUUCACCUCUUUCCUAAAGCCUCUGUCUCCCAUCUUCCCAGAACCGAUUACGAUCAUUGUCCCCUUCGCUUGAAGCUGGACAAUACCCCCAACACCUAGGAUAACCCCUUUAGGGUUAAGUCCAUAUAGUGCUCUCACCCAAGCUUUAUUCACAUUAUCCAGAAUUCUUUUUCCCCUGAGGUUCCUCUGACCGAGGCCAUAACCAUCUUUGAAUCCCAGGUUUUCACCUAGAAUAGAGAAACCUUUACUAACAUCUUUAAGGAAAGAACAAGAACCUUGCUAGAUUAGAUAGCAUCCAAAAAUCUCCCUAUUAUCACUCCAGCCUCUUUCUCCAGGACCUUGAAAGAACCCUCACUAAGGAAUUUAGUAUCAUUCUCGGACUAGAAUAAGUGUUCUGGAAACUUAAAUCCAGAAUCAAUUGGAUUGCUGAGGGUGACUCUAAUACUAGAUUCUUCCAUAUCUUUACUCUAAUAGAAGAAGAAGAAAUUGGAUUAAUGUCAACAAAAAAGAUAGUGGUAAUUGGAUCUACUCUACAGAGGCAAUCUACAACCACAUCCUAUCCUUCAACAACAAUCUCUUCGGGAUUGACCACCUUUCAUAUCCUCUGUCAGUUGAACCCCUCCUCUUUAGAGGGUCCAUCAAAUCAGAGGAUCAUGAUUCUCUUAACAACAUCCCUUCCCCUAAAGAAAUUAAAAGAACCAUCUUCUCUUUCAAUCCUUACAAAGCUCCUGGCCCUGAUGCCAUCCAACCCUCCUUUUACCAGAGAUACUUGUACAUCUUGAGUCAUUCUGUUAUCAACACCUUCACUUCUGGUAAAAUGAAGUAUAAGGUCAAUUCUACCUAUCUUUGUCUCAUCCCCAAAUGUCCUAAUGCUAGCAAUAUUAGGAAUUACAGACCCAUUGGGCUCUGUAACACUCAAUAUAAGCUUAUCACUAAAAUCCUAGCUUUCGGGAUAAAACCUCAUUUUGCUAAGAUCAUCAGCCACACUCAAGAAAGCUUUCUCCCCAACAGGAGGACCUCAGACAAUGCAAUCAUUGUUCAAGAGGCCAUAUCCCACUUCCAGAAAAUGAAAGGCAAGUAGACAUAUGGUUUUGAAAAUAAACCUCAAAAAAGCCUUUGAUGGACUAAAGUGGUAUUCAUUAGACAAGCUCUCCAUUUCCUCAACAUCCCAACCAAACUCAGCUCCCUCAUAAAGUCAUACAUCUCUUCUUCCGGUGUAUUUGUUUUAAUUAAUGGGAGAAAAUCCGACUUCUUCUACCCCUCUAAAGGGAUCUGACAAGAUGACCCUCUUUUUUCCCUACAUCUUUUUCAUGUGCAUGAAACUACUCUCUAUGAGAAUAAACCAUGAGGUAGAUAUCCUUAAUUGGAACCCUAUAUCCAUUUGCAAUAAUGGCCCCAAACUUUCCCAUCUUUUUUUUGUUGAUGACCUUACCCUCUUCUCUAAGGUCUCUAUAGGAAGUUGUACCACCAUUUCCAAAGUUGUUGAGUCUUUUAGCCUUCAUUCUGGGCAAAAAAUCAACCUUUCCAAAGCCAAGGCAUCUUCUCAAAGAAUUGCUCCCCUCAAGACAAAACCUCUAUGGUAAACAUCCUCUCUAUCCAAGUUAAGGAUAACUUUGGGAAGUACAUUGGUUUCCUUAUUCUUCACUCUGCCCCUUGCUAAAAGGACUUCCAGUUCAUCAUUAAUAACAUUAACACUAGACUAGCUGGUUGGAAAACCAAGUUCCUGAACCUUUUUGGGAGGGUUACCCUUGCAAAAGCCUCUCUUAGUAGUAUUCCUAUCCAUGUUAUGUAGUACCACUUCAUCCUUAGCAGAAUUAUCUCUCUUAUUGAUAAGAGCCCAAAGGAAUUUUAUUUGGGUUCCACCUUGGAGAAAAGAAGAAUGCACAUGGUGAGCUGGGACGUCAUCACCCUCCCCAAAAACCAAGGUAGACUUGGUCUUCAAAAAGCUAGGCAUAAGAAUGACACCAUGCUUACAAGCCUAACCUGGAGACUUACCCAGAACCCCAACCGUCUUUGGGCACAGAUUCUAAGGAAUAAAUAUGGGUCUCCGAAGUCUAAGUGUAACCCUUCCUUCUCCAAGACUUGGAAAAAUAUCUCCCGAGGUUGGAAGCAUUGUCUGAAUGGUGCCCAAUGGAUUGUCCAUAAUGGGAAUCAUAUCAACUUUUGGUAUGGCAGGUGGAUCCCCAACAUGGAACCCCUUAUAUACCUUAUUCAGGGCCCCCUUAGCCUCCUUCAAUCCUAAAUCAAGGUCUCAGAAGUCUGGAAUGAAGGUAACUAGUUUUUCUCUGACCUCUCCCUCCAAUGGUAUUUUCUCUAGUAGUAGCGCAUAUUCCCUCCAAGGCCCUAUCUUUUUGGUUUGAUAAUGAAUAGAGUUCAGAAUCAUUUUCUUUUUUGUAAUGAAUUAAUUGGUCUUUUUCAUAUGAAUUCCAUUUGUUUAAGUUUCUAUUUUUAUUUUGAGCCAUACAACUUUGAUUAACCCCAGUUCUCCAUUUUUUUGGCAUUAAUCUAGACCAUCUAAUCUUAGAUAAAUCGUAUUGAUAAUGCCGUCUUAACCAGUUUUUCCAUUGAUUGAUUCUAUAACUCUGAGGUUUUUUAUGUUUUAAUUCAGAAUGAAAUAUUCCUAGUGUUCUAAAAUAGUCCUUUAUUUUAGUCUUAAGGAAAAAAGACGUUCUGUUAUAUUGAAGAACAGAUUUAAAUUUAGACAAAUUAAUAACUUGGGUUUGUGAUAAUUUGUAAAAUACAUAUGCUUGUGACAAGUAGGAUAAAUCAAAAAAACUAUGUGAAUUUUUCUUACUAAUAUUAUAAAUAUUAUAAAGUGACUUUUUUAUAGUCGAAAUAAAGAUAAAGUUAAUUUUGUUUUUAUUAUUAAUUUUUUCUUGAUUUAUUUCAUUAUUGGAAAUGUAUUUCUCAAUCAAUUUCUUUGUUGAUUUAAGACGGAGUUGUGUAUUAAUUCUUGUAAUAUUAAUGAUAGAUAAAAAUAGAUCGAUGUAUAAUCUUUGAAUGAAUAAUUUUCUAAAAUAAUGGAAUUGACAUAUUAAUCGAGUAUUUCUUUUUUUUAAUAUUUGGAAAAUAUUUUUUGGCGAUUUAGGACUAAUGUCUAUUUCUGGAGUUACUUUCUUUUUCUCUUUUGUAAUUCUUUCUAUUUGAUUUUUUAUUGUACUUGUUCUAUCAGUCAAAUCCUUCAUUUUGGUUUCUAUCAGUGAAGAAUUUGGCUCUGGAAAACAAACUGCCCCAAGGAUUAAGUCCUUCCUUUGGUAGCCCAACAUAAUAGAUUUCCUACUAAGCUACCCUCUCCAACAUGGGCCUCCCCAUCAGCCCUAACUGUGACUUUUGCAACCACUCCUUAGAAGAUAUCCCCCACCUCUUCUUUGAUUGCCCUGCCACCCAAGAGAUCUAGCAUAACCUUUCUUUAAAGGUCGCAAUGAGCCAAGAAUUACCCUCCCUAAUCUUCACCCUACCAAAUGGUCCCUUUGGACUAAACUAAGACAUAAAAAAUUCAACCACCUCCUUGAUUGACAUGAUAUUAUCCCCUUCUGCCUCUGGACUAUCUGGAGAAACCAAUUAUUUUGAGAACAAGAAGGCAAAACCCUUUUUUAUCCAAAGUUACUCAAAAGCAAUCGAAUAUAACCUUCUAGUUGUAAAUCCUUCAUCCACAACCAGAUUCACGGAUAUCAAUAUCCAUUGGAACCCUCCUCCCAAGGUUACUUUAAACUUAACAUCAAUGACUCGUGUCUUGGAAAUUCGGGUAGGGGAGGGAUAGAAGGUUUGACCCGUAAUGCAAUAGGAGGUUGGGUUCUUGGCUUCACCAAGAGCUUUAGCCAUACCACUAACAACUACAUGGAGUUUGCUCUCAGGGAAGGACUUAAAAUUGUUGAAUCCCACUAGUCUUCACCCUUGGAGAUCAACAUUGAUUCCAUGGAUUUAAUUUCAAUGCUAAAUCAUGGAAACUUACAUUAUAAUGAGUUUCCAUUAUAAUGCUAUCAUUGAUGAAUGCAGGUCUAGCCUAAGAAGAUUAGGAAGCCCAGCGAUGGUGCAUUGCUUUAGAGAGCAAAAUGGCGUGGCUAAUGCCUUAGUGAAUAAGGGGGUUGAAUCUGAAGCGGAGCUGGGAAUCGCUCUUUUUGAAAUUUCGUCAAUGUGUGCGCAACAAUCUCUAUAGGCAGACAUUGUGGGAACUCUUUUUGUUAGACAAAUUAAGCAUCCUCCAGACAGUUUUGUGACAGUUUUGUGACUGACAUCACAAGACUUUUGUACUUAAUCCUGACUCAUCUAGUCAGAACUAUGUUACUCCUUUUGUUUUUUUAUUUAAUAUUAACGCAAGCCUAUUAACCAAAAAAAAAAGAUGGACUAGUUGAGUAAUCCAACAUUGCGAUGAUCAUUACAGAGAGCAAAUUUCUAAAAAAUAGGAAUACAUUAUACUUUUAAGCUAAUCUUGAGUGAAGACUUAUAAGAAUGAGUUCAGAAUCAAUUGUUUAGACCACUUUUAUGUUAUAACCUAAAGAAGAAAAUCUGUGUAAGUCUAGGCUUCUAAGCGAACUAUACCUUAAGGACCAGUUUGGUAGGCCGCACUAAUUAGAAUAAUCCAUGGAUUAAAAUUGUCUCUCCAAUACAUCGUUUGGUUACUUUUCAACUUAAUACAUGAAUUACUUAUACACCAUAUGAUGUCUUAUUUUAUCCCUAGUAAAUGGAAAGGAUAACUUAUCCAAGAUUUAACAAUCCAUGGAUAAGACCUCCAAAUGACUAAAUUAUCCCUCAAUUUUUUUUUUAAAUUUCUUUUGUAAUUUGACAUCCUCAUUAACUAUAUUGGGUUGGUUAUAAAUGUUCUUUUUAAUUCUCGGACUCUAGUUCAUUGUAAUUUGACUAUUUCAUAAAUUAUGUUUGACUUUUUUCUUCAUAUUUCAUUUUCUUUACUGGGUUGAGAAACAGUUCAUGGAUUGGUCAUUUUAAUAAGCUUUAGGUAUUUAAACAUUUAUGUAGCCUUAAAUCUAUGGUAAAUUUAAGGCAGGUUUGACCAAUAAAAGAAUAUUGAAAGUACACAGUGUUAUCAAGGAUUUUCAUAGUGGCAAUCACACCAGAAAAUUAGUAAUAAAUUUUUAUUCAUAUUUUAGUUUUUAACUUGACUAAUUUAAUGAAAUAGAAAAUCCCAUAAAAAUUCAAGGGUAUAAUUGUAAAUGAGAUUUUUGUAGAGUUUUAAAUCAAACAUAAUACAUGAUAUAUCUAGUUUUUAAUAUAAUGAACCAAACACUUGAUAAAAAAUAAUUCAAGUACUAUAAUCCCUGUAUUAUUUCCUGCAUUAGCUGUCUUCGUACCAAACGACCUCUAAAAUCGGUACCUUUAUAAAAGUUUAGCUCAAACAUAGUUGAAAUUUGACCUCUUUGAAAUUAUUGAACACUACGUAAACCCCUUCUCUAGCUGAGGCCUUCCUUAAUGGGUUCUAAUUCUAAGAAGGGUACAAGUGAACAAGAGGGUAAAUUAGGUAGUAAAAUGAUACUUUAAUUAGUUGUUUUAAGAGAAUUAAAGAGUAAGGGAACUUGUUUGUCAAUAAUUUCUUAUUCACAUCUAAAUAUAAUCGGAGAAUAACAAAAGAAAGAUUUCAAGGCUUUGAGAAUAUCACUUUGAUACUUUUCCUCAUCACCUUUAUCUUCAAAUCAAGGUGUAUUACAUUACUACUUAAUAUAAGUGACAAUCUUGAGUUUUUCGUCGUUCUCACAGGAACAAUUUUAGAAUAUCACUGUGUCCUUUGUAAAUGAUAUUGAUAAACUAGAAAAUUUAAAGUUGUGAAAACUCUCUAGAAAUGCUCACAGCGCAUGUUAGCUAACGUACGCUGAGCUUGAAAGCCACGGCUAGAGGGAGAGGCCGAGGAUGGGGGCGAGGUUGAGGAAGGCCCCCAAGACAACUAUUGCUUCUUUUGGUAGCUCUGUAGCUACUAGACAACAAAUCCCACUUAAAUCUGACUUGAUUACACCCCCACUAGGGAUUAAGGUUAAGGAGCAACACCUGGUAGGCGAUGGGAGUCCCACCACUGCAGUAGCUAAGAAACUCUAAUUAAGUGACACUCCACCUACUGAUAGUAAAGUUGAUGAAUCUGGUGGUUCCAGGAGUUUGUAAUAUGCCAAUCCCAAUGGAACAGUGAAUUGAGCUAUUGUACACCAAACCAAUGAAAUAAUAAUACCAGAUCUGAAAGAGAAGGAAUGCAAGAGAAAAGAUAGGGGGAAGGGAAGAAUAGAUCAGCAGCCAAGGAUAUGUCUCUGAACUAUAUAGCCCCAGUAAUUGUGAAUGGACAAUGUAUAACUGAACUAGAUAAGGCUGAGGUAGCUAAGGAAUCUCAUAACUGGAAGUGUGCACUAAUUGAAUAUGUAAUUGGGGCAAACCCUGGGUAUAAUGGUUAUAAUGUGAUGAUGCAAUAUAUCAAUCAAAAUUGGAAGGAAGUUGCUCAACCGGAGUUAUAUAUGCAUGAUGAAGGUUAUUUCAUUACUAGAUUUAACUCACAGACUGACCUACACAGUUUUAUGCUCAGGUUCAUACACUAUCAAUAAUCUUCCUCUCAUACUCAAGUUGUGGUCAGCCCAAUUUGAUUUUAAUGAAGAAUACCCUACUAAGAUCCCGCUAUGGGUGAAAUUUCCUAAACUACCAAUGAAUUAUUGGAGUUACGAUUCAUUGAGUAGGAUUGCUAACUCAAUAGGCACUUCUAUGUAUGCUGAUGAGUGCACCACCAAGCAGACUCGCAUAUCCUAUGCUUGAAUUCUAGUUGAGGUCAACAUUACUCAGCUAUUACCUGAUUCAGUCAUAGUGAGAGCCCCUGAUAGUCAUGUUUUUCAGCAGGUAGUCAUGUACGAUUGGAAGCCUGUGUUCUGCCAAAAAGGUCAGAUUAUUGGUCAUACAUGUCACAGAUAACCCCCACCAAUGCCCAGAUAAAAGAAAGAAAUACCCAAAAGAGUGAUCCAAACCUGGCAAUACAAUGUCUUAAUCGUGGAUCAAGACAAGAGGCCUAGAAUUUAGAGAAAAAUGAGCCAUAGACACUAGAGCAAGCCACUGUUAAGGGAGAAAAAUCAAUUAUAACACUGGAGCCUACAACCACCACAUCUUCACAGUCUACACAACUAGUAAAGUCCACACAACUAGUAAAGUCCAAUGAGACUAGCUUUCAACCAGUAACUAUUAAGAAAAGAGGUGUUGUUCCUAUUGAUAUUAUCUUGGAUAUGGGUAUGUCUUCUAUCUCCUUCGGGAACAGGUUUGCUAGUAUUUAGAGUGACAUAGGUGAGGCGAGUUUGGCCCUUCUUGAUAGAGGGAAAAUACAUAAUACCAUAUGAAACGGCUGUUUUGGAAUAUCAGGGGUAUGAAUAAAAGGUAUAAGCAAAAAGAAGUUAAAAAUUUGCUUAAGAAUAAAAAAGUUGAUUUAGUAGGAAUAGUAGAAACUAGAGUCAAGGCUCACAAAGCCACUCAAAUAAGUGCCCACAUUGCUUCUGUUUGGGGGAAAUUACACAAUUACAACUCUACUGAAAAUGGUAGAAUUUGGAUACUAUGGGAUACUCGACACUACUAUGUCUCUCUUUUGAAAGAAGAGAUGCAAUUAAUACAAUGUCAGGUCAGGAGCUUAGCUGAUGGGGAAGUCUGUUUAAUUACGGUAGUAUAUGGAUACAAUACUGCAUCUUUGAGACUGAUGCUAUGGGACCAAUUAUGAGAGAUAUCACAAGGUAACCAACAACCAAGGAUUAUCAGUGGUAACUUCGAAGCUCUAUUGUACCCUCGGGAUAGAUUUGCAGGGAAUCCAGUACAAUAUAGUGACUCGAAGGAUUUUACUAACACAUUCAUAGUUGUGCACUUUAUGAGAUAUCAUGGAAAGGAGACUAUUAUACUUGGUCAACAGAAAACUUGGAAAAGAUAGAAUCUGAGCAGAAUAGAUAGAACUUUGGGCAACAGUGUUUGGAUGCAACAAUGUGGGUCAUGUGAAGGUUGAAUAUGAGGUCCCUUAUGUCUCAGACCACUCUCCAGUGUUUAUUAAUCUUACAGGUAAUAACUGAACAUCAAAGUGUCACUUAAGUUUUUUAAUGUGUGGACAGAGCACAAAGAUUUCCUGCAAAAUAUUAUUGAACAUAACUGGCAAGGUAUAAAGAACCUCGACCCUGGAAAGAACUUAUGGAUGAAACUCAAAGCUCUAUAGACUAAUUUGAAAGCCGUCAAUAACCUAGAAUUUAAAGUCAUAGCUCAGAGGAUAGAAAAAUCUAGGACUGAUCUUCAUAUUAUACAGGAGAAUAUGUUGCAAUGUCAAUCAGAUACCCUGCAAGCUUACGAGAAAAUAACUCUUCAAACUCUUGAAAAAUGGUUUGAGGUAGAGGAAAGUAUUAUGAAGUAGAAUCCAAAGCACAAUGGAUUAAACCUGGAGACUUCAAUACAAAAUAUUUCUCAGCAGUUGUCAAAGACAGAACCCAGAGGAAGAAUAUUACUGAACUCACCAGCUUGGUUGGUGACUUACUAACUGGCCCUAAAGCUAUUAAAGAGGAAAUUAUCUCUUUAUAUAAGGGUCUAAUGGGUUCUACAGCUCUUUCCGUACCUCAGUUGAUAUCUCAAAUAUGCAGAAAGGUCCUAGACUGUAGCAGAAUCAAAAAAUACUACUGUGACUGAAGAAAAAAUUCUUAAAAGCCUAAAAACUAUGAAAGAUGAUAAAACCUGGAUUGGAUGGAUAAAAUGUUGUGUUCUUUAAUAAAACUUGGCAUUUUUUUAAGCACGAGGUCAUUUUCACUGUGAAGCAUUUCUUUGAUACUGAAAAACUUUUCAAGCCUCUUAAUUGUGCAAUAGUAACCCUGGUUUCAAAAAUCCAAGCUCCUACCACAGUUAAAGACUAUAGACCUAUUACAUUUUGCUCUAUUGUGUGUAAGUUGAUUUUUAAGAUAUAAUAAGUAGACUCCAGAAUGUCAUGCAACCCGUAUUAAUGAGGCUCAAUCUAGUUUUAUCCCUGGUAGAAGAAUAGGGGAUAGUAUUAUCAUGGCACAUGAACUUAUCAAAGGCUACAUCAGAAAGAACAUCUCCCCCAGAUGCGUGAUCUCCAAAAGGCAUAUGAUUCUGUUGAAUGGAUAUAUUUGCAUCAUAUUUUAGUGGUUCUGGGAUUUCCUGAUAAAUUUAUCACUUGGCUCAUGUGUACAAACUGUUUCUUAUAGUAUUAUGAUCAAUGGUGAACCUAGUGAACCUUUUCCAGCAGCUAAGGGAUUAAGACAAGGUGACCCCAUAUCACACUUCCUUAUUUGCUUUAGCAAUGGAAUACCUGAGCAAGACAUUAUCAUAGUUGAAGAUGGAUAAAGGCUUUCACUAUCAUCCUAGAUGUGCCAAGCUAGGUGUCGCGCCCUAUUUCGAACCGGUGGAGAUAGUCCACAACAUAGUUGUGGUCACUGUGACUCUUUGGUUUUGAAAAUCAUUUUUAUGUAAAAAAAAUCUAUUUUUGAUCUUUCAAAAAUAUUUGAGAUUCUAAGUAAAGGUUUCGGUUACUCGAGGGUAAGGUGUUAAGCACCCCUAAGGGCCUAUCCGAAGAUAGUCCUUAACUCAGUUUAGGAAGACAUUUGGAAAAAUAUUUACUUUUAUUAUUUACAAUAAUAGUGGUAACUACACAUAAUGUUUAUCAAAUUCUAAAGAAACACACAAGGUACAUAAACAUAUCCUUCCGAUAUACGAAAAAGUGACGUAAUUUAUUGUCAAAAUAUGCAUGCAAUGUUUCAAAAAAAUAUGAAAAUGCACAUCUAUAAACCCAUGUAUUCAAUACCAUACGAUUUUUCAGAAACAUAAAUUCUAAACAGAACCAAAGAUUCGUAGAAAUCAAAAGAAAAACGAAAGAAAAGGAGAUGAGAGUUGAAUUAGAAAGGGAAUCCGCACCUUUUCUGGGGCAGCAAUUGAGGCUUUCCGUCAAGAUUCCGGCCACCAAACUCUACACCGGAAACUCGAUUUUAACAUGAAAUUAAGAAGAAAGACCAAGAAUUAUUGUGAUCUCCUACAUAUUUCCAAAAUACCCAAGGCUGAGUUUUGAACGUUCUCCUCCUUUCUCGACCGAUCUGAAACUUUUAUAUCUUUUAAAACUCGUUUCUCCCCUUUGCCUCGAAUCUGACAAAACCUCCAUUUUUGGACCUCUACAAACACUCCCUCUUUUAGUGAUGGAAUUGAAGGUAUUUAUAGUUAAAUUAGAACUUCAAAAUUUGGAUUUGACACUUAAAUCUAUAGAAGCCAACGGAUAGAAAAAAGAUGGGGGGAUUCAAAUUCAAAAACAGGAAAGAGACAUCACAUAACCUAAAAUUUUGGACGAUCCUUGGACCUUUAGUGUGGAUUUGAAAUUGAUUUUCAAUUCUUGUACCGAUUUGGAACUGUUUUUCUAAUGUCCGUUGGUUUCACGGGUCGGAGGAGAUAAAAUUGAGGGAAAUCUUGACAAGUGAGGGCAGACGAUGGUCAGUUAUGGUGGUGGAUAGGGUUUCAUUUUCGGGGUUGUUGAGGAGAAGAAGAAGAACAAACAAGGGAGGGGUCAGUAGUCUUGCUGUGCAUUUUUGAAGAAUGGAUGGAGACUAGUCGAUGCUUCUCUGAUAAACAAGCAAAGACGCGUCUGUGCUGUACUUAUUGAAGACCAA